Cercocebus atys (sooty mangabey) is the source of this 435-nucleotide RNA transcript. It is a transcript of the gene named peptidyl-prolyl cis-trans isomerase A pseudogene, with no coding region annotated. NCBI's taxonomy places the organism in Eukaryota, Metazoa, Chordata, Mammalia, Primates, Cercopithecidae. The transcript has a single exon. The record is from RefSeq and is a predicted model, not a curated record.
GCCUACGCAACAGAGUGAGACACCAUCUCGGAAAAAAGAAAAAAAAAAGUUGGCUUUGCAGACACUGCCACUGAGGAAAAUCCUGUACUAUUAGCCAUGGUCAACCCCACCGUGUUCUUCGACAUUGCCAUCGACGGCGAGCCCUUGGGUCGCAUCUCUUUCGAGUUGUUUGCAAACAAGAUUCCAAAGACAGCAGAAAAUUUUCAUGCUCUGAGCACUGGAGAGAAAGGAUUUGGUUAUAAGGGCUCCUGCUUUCACAGAAUUAUUCCAGGGUUUAUGUGUCAGGGUGGUGACUUCACACGCCAUAAUGGCACUGGCAGCAAGUCCAUCUACGAGGAGAAAUUUGAUGAUGAGAACUUCAUCCUAAAGCAUACAGGUCCUGGCAUCUUGUCUCUACAAAAAAUAAUUAGCCUGGCCUGGUGGUGCAUGCCUAGU